CACCGGCGACGAAGCGUACGGCGCCCUGCGGUCGUGAUCGAUCGCCUCCAGGAACCUACCACGCGCGCCGAGGCGAGGGCCUCGUGGACUCCGUCCGUCGCCGCUUGGCCGACGACCUCGUGAUGGAUCGAUUAUUUCUCAGCUUGGCGCAUGCAGUACGGCAGCACGCCGCGCGCAGUUUCCUUGGAUUCUAUUCCAUCUCUUCGCGUCCGCUUCCUCUAAUUGCUUCUCAAAUCAUUCGUUCGUUCGUGCUGGUCAUCCUCCUACAUCUGCCUGUCUCGCUCUCCGAUUGAUUAAUCGUGUUCAUUGGGAUUUAAAAAGAGGAACAUGGAUUUUUGUUGGUGACUUGUAAGCAGCAACAAGAUCUUGCAAUUUCUAAUUUUCUAGCCAUCCACGUGAGUACAGAUCAGGCGAGUACCUCGGGGCAGAGCCCGCGCUGCCGUACCUGAGCCCCUACAUGCGCGGCGAGAACCUGCUCGUCAGCGCCAACUUCGCGUCCACCGGCGUCGGCAUCCUCAAUGACACAGGCGUGCAAUUCGUGAACAUCAUCAGGAUCGCCCAGCAGCUGCAGAACUUCCAGGACUACCAGCAGAGUGCGUAGGAUUUUUUUUUAAAUUACUACAUUCCCCAACAGUGGUAUCCGAGCAAGGUUUAUGCGUAGAUGUUAUAUGCACGAGUAGAACACAAGUGAGUUGUGGGCGAUAAUAGUCAUACUGCUUACCAGCAUGCCAUACUUUGAUUCGGCGGUAUUGUUGGAUGAAGCGGCCCGGACCGACAUUACGCGUACGCUUACGCGAGACUGGUUCUACCGACGUG
This is a long non-coding RNA of Triticum aestivum (bread wheat), 816 nucleotides long. RefSeq lists it as uncharacterized. Lineage: Eukaryota; Viridiplantae; Streptophyta; Magnoliopsida; Poales; Poaceae. The transcript has 4 exons. The record is from RefSeq and is a predicted model, not a curated record.